Molecule: transfer RNA, 74 nt
Filed under: Promethearchaeota archaeon
Lineage: Archaea; Promethearchaeati; Promethearchaeota
Description: Candidatus Lokiarchaeota archaeon (microbial mat metagenome) tRNA-Pro
Rfam family: tRNA
About the family: Transfer RNA (tRNA) molecules are approximately 80 nucleotides in length. Their secondary structure includes four short double-helical elements and three loops (D, anti-codon, and T loops).
Source: RNAcentral
GGGGCGGUAGUUUAGCUUGGUAGAAUACUGUGUUCGGGUCACAGUGGUCAGGGGUUCAAUUCCCCUCUGCCCCA